GGCGGGUAUGGUUUGAGUUCAGUGUAAUGCGAAAUAUUUAUACAUGUCUUGCGUUAAUCUGGACCGUUCAUCACGUUUGAUCUCGACCGUCCGAUCUUGUUUAAAGAGAAAAUAAAUCUGAACUGUUCAUCGCAAUUUGAUCUCGAUCGUCCGAUCGCGUUUAAAGAUGAAACGAACCUGUGUCGUUUAUGCGCGCGGGGACGCUUUCGGGCCUUUACAUUAUCAUCACUGACCACCACCAUUGAUAUUAUUACAAUCAC
Molecule: long non-coding RNA, 260 nt
Filed under: Carica papaya (papaya)
Lineage: Eukaryota; Viridiplantae; Streptophyta; Magnoliopsida; Brassicales; Caricaceae
Description: long non-coding RNA (CPAP_LNC012013)
Source: RNAcentral